CAGAAGAUUCUUGGAUUGGGAAGAGGAAAUUCCAUCUGGGAACGACAAAUUUGGGGUGGGAGGAAUUUAUUUCCAACAGAACCAGAGCAGGAGAAAAAGAGCCCAAAAUCCAACUUUGCCCUCCCCCAAUUCCCGGCAUUCCCUCGGUCCCUCCGGAGUUUUCCGUGAUUUCUCAACUUUGGGAAGAGUUUUCCGUGGAUUUCUUGGUCAUGGGAAAGAAUUUUCCAUGGAUUUCUUGGUCAUGGGAGAGUUUUCCAUGGAUUUCUUGGCUAUGGGAAGAGUUUUCCAUGGAUUUCUCCAAGGUGAAUCCAUCCCACAAUGAGUUUUCCAUGGAUUUCUCAGCUACGGAAUUUUCCAUGGAUUUCUUGGCCAUGGGAGAGUUUUCCAUGGAUUUCUUGGCUAUGGGAAAGAAUUUUCCAUGGAUUUCUCAGCUAUGGGAAGAGUUUUCCAUGGAUUUCUCCAAGGUGAAUCCAUCCCACAGUGAGUUUUCCAUGGAUUUCUCAACUUUGGGAAGAGUUUUCCAUGGAUUUCUUGGUUAU
This 539-nucleotide long non-coding RNA is filed under the name Zonotrichia albicollis (white-throated sparrow). RNAcentral's name for it is "lncRNA (ENSZALG00000004917.1)". Lineage: Eukaryota; Metazoa; Chordata; Aves; Passeriformes; Passerellidae. The record is from RNAcentral.